This 297-nucleotide signal recognition particle RNA is filed under the name Erinaceus europaeus (western European hedgehog). Its description in RNAcentral is "Metazoan signal recognition particle RNA". It matches the Rfam family "Metazoan signal recognition particle RNA". Rfam says of the family: The signal recognition particle (SRP) is a universally conserved ribonucleoprotein. It is involved in the co-translational targeting of proteins to membranes. The eukaryotic SRP consists of a 300-nucleotide 7S RNA and six proteins: SRPs 72, 68, 54, 19, 14, and 9. The record is from Rfam by way of RNAcentral. Lineage: Eukaryota; Metazoa; Chordata; Mammalia; Eulipotyphla; Erinaceidae.
GCUGGGCAUGGUGGUGUGUGCCUGUAGUCCCAGCUACUUGGGAAGCUGAGGCUGGAGGAUCCCUUGAGCCCCGGAGAUCUGAGCUGUAGUGCACUAUGCUGAUUGUGUGUCCACACUAAGUUCAGCAUAAGUAUGGUGACCUUCCCUGGGAGCAGGGGACCACCAGGUUGCCUGAGGAGAGGUGAACCAGCCCAGGUCAGAAACAGAGCAGGUCAAGAUUUCUGAACCUAUUGUAGCUAAUCUCUGAAGACCAACUCCUAACUUAACUCAGACUCUGCACUCAAUUAAAUUCCUUUU